This 77-nucleotide transfer RNA is filed under the name Alphaproteobacteria bacterium. RNAcentral's name for it is "tRNA-Asp". It matches the Rfam family "tRNA". From Rfam's summary of the family: Transfer RNA (tRNA) molecules are approximately 80 nucleotides in length. The record is from RNAcentral. Lineage: Bacteria; Pseudomonadati; Pseudomonadota; Alphaproteobacteria.
GGGGGUGUAGCUCAGUUGGUUAGAGUGUCGGCCUGUCACGCCGAAGGCCGCGGGUUCGAGUCCCGUCACUCCCGCCA